RNAcentral lists this ribosomal RNA (428 nucleotides) under Verrucomicrobiota bacterium. RNAcentral describes it as "Verrucomicrobia bacterium partial 16S ribosomal RNA". It matches the Rfam family "Bacterial small subunit ribosomal RNA", at positions 355 to 776 of the family's 1533-position model. Lineage: Bacteria; Pseudomonadati; Verrucomicrobiota. The record is from RNAcentral.
UAGGGAAUCUUCCGCAAUGGACGAAAGUCUGACGGAGCAACGCCGCGUGAGUGAAGAAGGCUUUCGGUUCGUAAAACUCUGUUGUUAGGGAAGAAAAAAUGUAUAGUAACUAUAUACAAAAGAGACGGUACCUAACCAGAAAGCCACGGCUAACUACGUGCCAGCAGCCGCGGUAAUACGUAGGUCCCGAGCGUUGUCCGGAUUUAUUGGGCGUAAAGCGAGCGCAGGCGGUUAGAAAAGUCUGAAGUGAAAGGCAGUGGCUCAACCAUUGUAGGCUUUGGAAACUGUUUAACUUGAGUGCAGAAGGGGAGAGUGGAAUUCCAUGUGUAGCGGUGAAAUGCGUAGAUAUAUGGAGGAACACCGGUGGCGAAAGCGGCUCUCUGGUCUGUAACUGACGCUGAGGCUCGAAAGCGUGGGGAGCGAACAGG